UACGGAGGGUGCGAGCGUUGUCCGGAAUCACUGGGCGUAAAGGGCGCGUAGGUGGCGCGGGCAGUCAACGGUGAAAGUUCGGGGCUCAACCCUGAAUCGGCCGUCGAUACUCCCGAGCUCGAGCACUGUAGAGGCAGAUGGAAUUCCGGGUGUAGCGGUGGAAUGCGUAGAUAUCAGGAGGAACACCUGCGGUGUAGACGGCUUACUGGACGGUAACUGACGCUGAGGCACGAAAGCGUGGGUAGCAAACAGG
RNAcentral lists this ribosomal RNA (253 nucleotides) under uncultured bacterium. RNAcentral's name for it is "partial 16S ribosomal RNA". It matches the Rfam family "Bacterial small subunit ribosomal RNA", at positions 524 to 776 of the family's 1533-position model. The record is from RNAcentral.